RNAcentral lists this ribosomal RNA (526 nucleotides) under Ganoderma australe. RNAcentral's name for it is "partial large subunit ribosomal RNA". It matches the Rfam family "Eukaryotic large subunit ribosomal RNA", at positions 421 to 940 of the family's 3401-position model. Lineage: Eukaryota; Fungi; Basidiomycota; Agaricomycetes; Polyporales; Polyporaceae. The record is from RNAcentral.
GCUUGAAGUCAGUCGCGUUGUCCGGAACUCAGCCUUGCUUUUGCUUGGUGCACUUUCCGGAUGACGGGUCAGCAUCGAUUUUGACCGUCGGAAAAGGGCUGGAGUAAUGUGGCACCUCCGGGUGUGUUAUAGACUCUGGUCGCAUACGGCGGUUGGGAUCGAGGAACGCAGCGCGCCGCGAGGCAGGGGUUCGCCCACUUUCGCGCUUAGGAUGCUGGCAUAAUGGCUUUAAACGACCCGUCUUGAAACACGGACCAAGGAGUCUAACAUACUUGCGAGUGUUUGGGUGGAAAACCCGAGCGCGUAAUGAAAGUGAAAGUUGAGAUCCCUGUCGUGGGGAGCAUCGACGCCCGGACCAGACGUUCUCUGACGGAUCCGCGGUAGAGCAUGUAUGUUGGGACCCGAAAGAUGGUGAACUAUGCCUGAAUAGGGUGAAGCCAGAGGAAACUCUGGUGGAGGCUCGUAGCGAUUCUGACGUGCAAAUCGAUCGUCAAAUUUGGGUAUAGGGGCGAAAGACUAAUCGAAC